UAGUAGUGGAGAAGUCAAGACAUAAAAGAAGCGACACCUGAAAAGCACUGAAAGGAAACAAAACAGGACAAAAAGCACUUUCUUACGGAAAAGAUACCAUCCUCUUUGUGACGGGUUUUCCUCACUGAAGUGACAGCAAUGUAAUUGUCUUUUUUUACAGAUGACACUAACUGCACUCUGAAAACUUGGAAGGAAGGCACAAAGGGGUAUUGAUUGUGGUAUCCCAACACAAAGCGUAACAUUUACAAAUGGUGUUUAAACCAGGUCAUAAAGGGCCAAUUUGGACACGAGAGACUGAUUUCUGCGUCACAGAAACAUCCUCAAAGAGUUUGUGCUGAGGAAACUACCCCAUACAGGCUGAUCUGCAAAUGCACGAUGAUUUCCAGUCCCCGCUCGAGGUGGUUGUGAAACGAUGAAUCAUCUGUGAGCACCGUGAGGCUACGAAACUCAAGACUUUAGUGCCUGGUUUACUGAGCACUAC
Manis javanica (Malayan pangolin) is the source of this 481-nucleotide non-coding RNA. NCBI's taxonomy places the organism in Eukaryota, Metazoa, Chordata, Mammalia, Pholidota, Manidae. The record is from RefSeq and is a predicted model, not a curated record.